RNAcentral lists this ribosomal RNA (253 nucleotides) under uncultured bacterium. RNAcentral describes it as "partial 16S ribosomal RNA". It matches the Rfam family "Bacterial small subunit ribosomal RNA", at positions 524 to 776 of the family's 1533-position model. The record is from RNAcentral.
UACAGAGGGGGCAAGCGUUAUUCGGAAUUAUUGGGCGUAAAGGGCGCGUAGGCGGCCUGUCAAGUCUCUCGUGAAAUCCCUCGGCUUAACUGAGGACGUGCGGGAGAUACUGUCAGGCUGGAGUCCGGAAGAGGGUGGUGGAAUUCCCAGUGUAGCGGUGGAAUGCGCAGAUAUCAGGAGGAACACCAACGGCGAAGGCAGCCCGCUGGGACGGUACUGACGCUAAGGCGCGAAAGCGUGGGGAGCGAACAGG